UCUGGUGGCGAUAGCGAAGAGGUCACACCCGUUCCCAUGCCGAACACGGAAGUUAAGCUCUUCAGCGCCGAUGGUAGUCGGGGGUUUCCCCCUGUGAGAGUAGGACAUCGCCAGGC
This 116-nucleotide ribosomal RNA is filed under the name Bacillus velezensis. Lineage: Bacteria; Bacillati; Bacillota; Bacilli; Caryophanales; Bacillaceae. The record is from RNAcentral.